Molecule: RNA transcript, 1660 nt
Organism: Lathyrus oleraceus (garden pea)
Lineage: Eukaryota; Viridiplantae; Streptophyta; Magnoliopsida; Fabales; Fabaceae
Exons: 9
Source: RefSeq, a predicted model, not a curated record
AACCUGCCGCAAAUUACUGACCUGGACGUGUUCGCUGAUCCUUAUCCUUAAUUAGGUAUACAUUUUGAAACGUAUAUAAAUCAAUUGAAACUGUUUAGAGUAGUUGCGAGAAAUCACACUCAAUCUGUGUUCACUCCCCCCGCACAAAAAGUCAUUUUGUUGCGGUGAAUAAUCAGAAUCAGAAAUUCAGAUUAACGAUGAGAAGAUACAAUUCAAAUUCAGGAAAUUAUCGAAAUCCAUGUAUAACUAUGCACCAGCCUUGGGCUUCUCUUCUCGUUUACGGAAUCAAGCGAAUCGAGGGAAGAACAUGGCCUGCUCCAAUCACAGGUCGUCUUUGGAUUCAUGCUGCUGGUAAAGUUCCGGAGGAGUCUACGAUCAAAGCAAUGGAAUAUUUCUAUAAGGAAAUUUAUGCACUACAUGGGAUUACUGAUAUCAGUUUUCCUCAACAUUACCCUGUUUCUAGGCUUUUGGGUUGUGUUGAAGUUGUUGGUUGCUUAAAUCGCGAUGAGCUAUCAUGCUGGGAGAUGGUUCCUGAAUCGGUACGACUAGAAGCACAAACUGAUUAUUGUUGGUUGUGUGAACGGCCACAGAAAUUGUUGAUUCCAUUUGAGAUGCGAGGUUACCAAGGCGUUUAUAACUUGGAAAGAAAGAUUUAUGAAGGUGCAGUUAGAGGGUUAGUCCCGGUUGAUAGCCCUAUGCCAGUGAAAUUUCCACUUCCGGAUCCAUCUAACCAAUUUUCUCUAAAGCCGGGUCGUGUCUCCGCGCUUACCCAUGAUUUAAAAGCAACUGAAGUGGACAAGUCGUCAACUUUAAGUCUGGCCAUAGCUGGGGCACGUGCAGCAGCUGUUCAGUUCGCAAAGAAGGACUAUAAUUCCCAAAGUAUUGAUCGAAACAAUCAUCCUAUCAAGAUAAAUGCUAAUCACGAUGAGACUCCAGCUGCUAGAUCCGAUUAUUUACGGCCACAUCAAAGAUCUAUGGAAAAGGACAAUCUACAGUCCACUGAGUUAAAUGAGAAAUUUGAUGAUGGUUUCGUCUCAUUAGAUCAGGAAGCAAAAGGCAGUAGUAAAGUGAAUGAGGGAGGUAGCUCAUACCAUCAGUUACCUCAUGCUGACAGGAGACAACAUUUUCAUCCCUCUACAAAGGGUAUUUUGGGAUAUAAACCAAAGUUCAAUUGUGACAAGUAUGAGAAAAGUAGUAUGCAGGAACAAUUUUCAGGUGCAGAAGCAGAUUUGAGGCAGCAUCCUCGUCCACCAUCCAAGAUUUUUGCUGCAGCGAUGAAAAGCAUCAGCAAAGAUCGUGGAAAGAGUCUAACUGCUCAGAGUCCGAUUGUGAAUUUGUAACCUAGUGACUGGAUUGUUACUUAUUAUGCUGAAAAAUAAAGCUUGGAAGUGGAUGCUCACUUGAACUCAUUUGGAUGCUUGAGUCCGUUUAAGGUGCAUGCUCGCGGGGCCACUUCACCCCAUCCUCACUUUUUUAUGGGACAAAUCAAAAUUAUAGGCUCGUACCUUAAUUAUGUCUAUCUUGUUUUGUCUCGUUUUUUGUGGACUUUUUACGGGAGAGAUAUGCCCGUUUGUCACCUCUAAUUUAAUGAGAAUGUUGUGUAUUUCAGACAUUUCUAGAUUUUAAAAUUCAGAAUCUAAGAUUUUUUUUAGAAUUUCAA